RNAcentral lists this unclassified non-coding RNA (358 nucleotides) under soil metagenome. RNAcentral describes it as "partial contains 5.8S ribosomal RNA, internal transcribed spacer 2, and large subunit ribosomal RNA". The stretch from base 1 to 120 matches the Rfam family "5.8S ribosomal RNA", at positions 35 to 154 of the family's 154-position model. The record is from RNAcentral.
GAUGAAGAACGUAGUGAAAUGCGAUAAGUAAUGUGAAUUGCAGAAUUCAGUGAAUCAUCGAAUCUUUGAACGCACAUUGCGCCCGUCAGUAUUCUGGCGGGCAUGCCUGUUCGAGCGUCAUUACGCCCCUCAAGUCCCCUGUGGACUUGGUGUUGGGGAUCGGCGAGGCUGGUUUUCCAGCACAGCCGUCCCUUAAAUUAAUUGGCGGUCUCGCCGUGGCCCUCCUCUGCGCAGUAGUAAAACACUCGCAACAGGAGCCCGGCGCGGUCCACUGCCGUAAAACCCCCCAACUUUUUAUAGUUGACCUCGAAUCAGGUAGGACUACCCGCUGAACUUAAGCAUAUUAAUAAGCGGAGGA